CAACCAGUGACGUCACAGAUUUGGAAUUCUCCCUGCUCAUUGAGAAGGUUAACUCAACAGAUGACAUGAGUGAGCUUACAGAUGAGAUUUUAAGCUGUGGAUACACUGGAAAAGUGUCUGCUGACAUGAAAAGCAACAUCAUCAGAGCCAUUGUUUUACACUCCACUAUGAGAGUUGUUCCAGUGCUUGAUCAGCUGCGAAAAGGCCUGCAGCU
This is a long non-coding RNA of Sinocyclocheilus rhinocerous, 214 nucleotides long. RefSeq lists it as uncharacterized. The record is from RefSeq and is a predicted model, not a curated record. The transcript has 3 exons. Lineage: Eukaryota; Metazoa; Chordata; Actinopteri; Cypriniformes; Cyprinidae.